UAAGUGGGAAACGAUGUGGGAAGGCACAGACAGCCAGGAUGUUGGCUUAGAAGCAGCCAUCAUUUAAAGAAAGCGUAAUAGCUCACUGGUCGAGUCGGCUGCGCGGAAGAUGUAACGGGGCUAAACCAUGCACCGAAGCUGCGGCAGCGACACUAUGUGUUGUUGGGUAGGGGAGCGUUCUGUAAGUCUGCGAAGGUGACCUGUGAGGGUUGCUGGAGGUAUCAGAAGUGCGAAUGCUGACAUAAGUAACGAUAAAGCGGGUGAAAAGCCCGCUCGCCGGAAGACCAAGGGUUCCUGUCCAACGUUAAUCGGGGCAGGUGAGUCGACCCCUAAGGCGAGGCCGAAAGGCGUAGUCGAUGGGAAACAGGUUAAUAUUCCUGUACUUGGUGUUACUGCGAAGGGGGGACGGA
This 410-nucleotide ribosomal RNA is filed under the name Klebsiella pneumoniae. RNAcentral's name for it is "bacterial LSU rRNA". It matches the Rfam family "Bacterial large subunit ribosomal RNA", at positions 1060 to 1476 of the family's 2925-position model. The record is from RNAcentral. Lineage: Bacteria; Pseudomonadati; Pseudomonadota; Gammaproteobacteria; Enterobacterales; Enterobacteriaceae.